Molecule: long non-coding RNA, 280 nt
Filed under: Gallus gallus (chicken)
Lineage: Eukaryota; Metazoa; Chordata; Aves; Galliformes; Phasianidae
Source: RNAcentral
UUUUGUUCUUCCCAAUGAUGUAAUUCAUGAUAUAAGCAAGAAGACCUGUUACCAUCAGGAUCUCCAUGUAAUAACUCUCCCAGCUGUUCUGAAGGUGAGCAGGGACAUUAACUAUUGUUAUGGGGUCUUUAUUUUUGCUAGGAGAUGCAUCUGGUUUCUCUUCAUAACCUUCAAACUCCUCAUCAUCAUAAGGUUCACUCUCAGUGUCACCUUCCUGUGCAUCUGUGUCAAAGUCCUCCUGAUUCUCAUCCUGACCUUCAAGCUCUACAGUGGCUUCUUC